UCCUACGGGACGCAGCAGUGAGGAAUAUUGGUCAAUGGGCGGGAGCCUGAACCAGCCAAGUCGCGUGAGGGACGACGGUCCUAUGGAUUGUAAACCUCUUUUGUCGGGGAACAAAGGCGCCCACGGGUGGGCGGAUGAGUGUACCCGAAGAAAAAGCAUCGGCUAACUCCGUGCCAGCAGUCGCGGUAAUACGGAGGAUGCGAACGUUAUCCGGAUUUAUUGGGUUUAAAGGGUGCGUAGGCGGAAUAUCAAGUCAGCGGUAAAAAUUCGGGGCUCAACCCCGUCGUGCCGUUGAAACUGAUGUU
RNAcentral lists this ribosomal RNA (305 nucleotides) under uncultured bacterium. RNAcentral's name for it is "bacterial SSU rRNA". It matches the Rfam family "Bacterial small subunit ribosomal RNA", at positions 337 to 640 of the family's 1533-position model. The record is from RNAcentral.